CCUCUUUGGGUGGGAGUUGUUCUGCCCUCGGUGCUGUGAGGACUGUAAGUGGAGUUGCUUGUAAGGUUUUUUUGGUUGUGGUGGGGUUGGUUGGCCUUUCUGCCAAAGUUUCUAGGGUCUGAGAAGCAAGUGUAAUGAAGAGACCUAGAGCUGAUGAGUCAUGGAGGGUAGAGGAGGGAGCAAGAGGCUGGGUUUGUGCUUCUGGAUUCCCUGUGGUGAGGCCUCUGCCCCUGUGUCCUUAGCUGCCUUGGAGCGGGACAUGGUCACAGCCCAGGGGAGGUGCAAGCUUCCUUGGAUCGGUGUGGGGUUGUCUUUGAUUUGUCAGUUUGUUGAAAGGUACAGGGAUGGCUUCUGGGAGCUUGGAGACACUGGGUGGUGGGGCCUGGAUGUGUGUGUAUGCUGUUUGGGAGGGAUUUCAGUCUGGUCUUGAUUGACCCUGUGGGCUUCAUGGCUUGUUUUGUCUUUCAGGAUCCUGGCUGUUGUGGAGAGACUUUGGGUUGGAGAUGGAUGCAAAGAAGUGGAGGCGUGCCAUGGUGAUGGAGGAUAGAGCAGGAGGAGUAGCAUGAUGGAAGGUGGACUUACCUCAAGCGGGGGUGGUGUUUUGAGUGGGGGUGUCUGGGUGGGCUGGGAAGUCCCUGCUCUGGGUUGGUGUCCUGAGCUGCACGCUCCCAGGGCAGGGCUACUCAAGCGGAGGGCCAUGGCACCCAGGAGUGCCUCUGAGAUGAGUGGUGUAUGGCUGGGCUGGCUUGGCCCAGAGUUGCUCUGAGUCUGUGCAAAGAUCUCCAGGUUGCGGUGGGACAGAGGAUUGGGUCUCUGCCUGGCUGUACCUGUUGCCACAUGCCUCCUUUCAGUGCUGGGAAUUGCAUUUAUGUCUCAUCUCUCUGGGUGUGUCACUGGUGUCUGUCUUUGUACUUCUGUUCUUAAAAAUCACUGCAGCACUUGUUACUUUGUUCUUCCCAGGACUGAAAGGAGGGUUGUGUUUGCAUGUAAAUUGAUCCCCUCACUUGGGAGGGGUGUAGCUGCAGCCCCCUGCGGUUUGUUAGUGGGGCCAGUGCAAGCUGCUGUUGUACCCCUGGUUGGGAGGGAGGGGGUGCUGUCCCGUUGGUGCUGUGAGACCUGCGCAUAGCGCUGCAAGUGUUAAUUGCUGUUGUUCAUUUUUGGUGGUGUGGACAUGUUUGGCAAGAUGACCAAAGUCUGAUCCCGAGUGGAGAAGAGCUGAGGAAGAGGUGAAGAGCCCUGGAGCUGGUAUGGCGUGGAAGGAGUUGGAGACGGCCUGAAGCCAUGCUCACGUGAUCACCUGGAGCGAGGUAUUUGCUUCUUGUGGGUUGCAGCUCUGGAUGGAGAGAUCCUGCAGUUGCAGGUGCCUGCAUCGUAUCUGGGAAAGGGAUAGCAAGCAUGAGGACUGAUGGCGCACAAGGACUGAAGGCGCAGCGUGAUGCCAGGUGUGGAGCCAUCUUCUGAAGGCUUGAGGGCUGUGGAGCAGACUCUGUGAAGAUGAAGUGAAGAGUCCCAGCGAUGGUGCAGGAGGAAACGGGCAGCCCUGUUGUGACUUCCUGAUUUGCGUGGUGUGAGGCCUCUUCCCCUGUGGCAUCACCUGGCUGGAGUCUGGGGAGGUUUUGUGUGUAGCUUUGCAGGCGGUGCGUCUCCGCUCCCACUUCUUGCUGUGAGGAUGCCUGGAUAAGCAGCAGCAUGAUUGUGGCUGGGUGGCCUCAAUGUUGUGGGGGAGAGGAACAGAAGCGAGGCUUCUGCGGUGGUGGUAGAAGAUGGAGGAACUGGAUCCCGAAAGGUGGGCUGGGUUAAAGUGGGAGGCUGGGUUGCGUUUUCCCUGGUCGUGUUUGGGUGGGGAAGGAAACGCCUUGUGCGUAAUGGGGUCUGGAGCUCCGUGCUGUCUGGGAAGUGAUGCUGAAGCCGGGACUUGUGGCCCUUAGGGAUGCUGCAGAGCAGGGGGUGUAAGCCUGAAUUGGGUUUAGUUUGGUGGUGAGACCUGACUCCUUGUAAAGGCUGGAAAUUGUCCUUGAGUAUAUUAGGGGUUUCAGUGUUUGCCCCUGGCUUCUGGGUGCAGGUGACAGCAUUGGAUGUGCUGGGACAGAGGAGCGGGUGCGUGCGUGUCCGCCUCUGCCUGGCUGUUGCUGCUGCCACUGGUCUUCCUUCAGUUCUGGGAAUUGCACUCUGUCCUAUGUCUCUGGGUGUGUCACUGGUGUUUCUUUCUACUUUGAUAUCUAAAAUCACAGCAGCACUUCUUCUUUCUUUCUUUGCUCUUCCCAGAGCUGGAAGGAUAGGUGUGUUUGCAACUGAAUUGAUCCCCUCAUUUGGGUGGGCUUUGACUACACCCUGUGUGCCUCGCGUGCGAGUGGGGGUGUUAUGCUUUCGGUGUCCUAGGCUGCUGGGGGUGGGGGGCGUUGUCUCUGCUGUCAGUACUAUGAGACGUGAAUACUGUUGCGUGUAGUAAUUGCUUGUUGUUUUGGGUGUGAUGUUAAUAUGUCGAGCGUGAGUGGAGAAGAGCUGAGGCGAAGAGACCUAGAGCCAGCGCUAGGUAGAAGCGGGUGGAGGAAGCAGGUGGUUGUGCAGCCAUGCUCGCUUCUGGGUCACCUGGAGGGAGGCCUCUGCCUGUUCGGUGGACCUGUGUGCAUGAGCAGAGCCUGCAGAGGUCCCUGCUUCCCCUGUGUGGAGAGGAUGGCAAGGAGGGAGGAGAGCGCGCUGGAGGAAGAGGAGCGUGAUGCCAGGUCCCAUGAGUGCUGUCUCUUGGGGUGAGGCCCUUCUCACAGAUGGAUGGGUGCACCCUGGGCAGGCACGUCUUGGAGAGCUGGUCCUGACCUGUGCAGAGGGAAAUGACUGCCGGUUGAAGGAGUGAAGCUGAGCAGCGCCCACGGAGGGUGAAGCAGGAGGAACUCGAUGCUGCAUGGCGUGUCGGUGCCGGAUGGGCAGUUCUGGCAAUUGGGUCCUGGUCCUUGGAGAGAAGUUUGAGCAGAGAAGGGUGGAAGAUGGAGGCAGAGAGGAUGGUGCAACGUGUGUUUGUUCUGGAAGGGGGGUGGGGUGGGGUGACAAGUCCCUGGUGUACUGAGCUUCACGCUCCUGGGCCAGCGAUGCUCCGGCAGGAGGUUGUGGCACCAUGGGUGGCCCCUCUCUGUACCGGUGCAAGGCUGUGCUGGUGUACCUGGGAGUCCCGCAAUUGCCUCGGUGUAAAGAAUGGGAAUCGUUCCCCUCCAUUGUGGGCGAUUUCUGGUCCUUUGAGCAGGGUUUGCUUCUGGCAUGGGUGCAGAUCUUGACUCUGUCUAGGCUCUAGCAGGGCAGAGGAUUGGGUGUUUGCCUUGCUGAUGCCAUUACCACAGCUUCCUGCUUCAGUUCUGGGAAUUGUCUGGGGGUAUCACGGAUGGCUUGGAGUCAACAUCACUGCACUAUUUCUGUCUCUGUCUCUUUUGUCCUUUUCUUUGCUCUUCCCAGAAGUGAAGGGGGAGGCCUGUGUGCGCACAUGUAAAUGGCCUCCCUUAGUUGGGAGGGGAGAGCUGUGAGACGGGUCUUGCUGCAUCCUGUCAGCUUUGUGGGAGCUAAGUAGGGUGGUUUUGGGUGGAAGGGGCCCCUGCCGCCAGUGCUGUGAGGCCUGUGAGUUGUGCUGUUUUGUGGUAAUUGCUGCUUUAUCUGCAGCAGGGGGUCUUUUUACCAAGACUUUUGGGGCAGGGAGGAGAAGUGGAGAUUGGGCAGAAGAAGAGAAGACACCUUGAAGUCAUGAACCAUGGAGCUGCCUGUCAUUGGUGCAUGGAACAUGUGAUGGGUGCUUGUGCUGUAGCUCUGUCGUGAGGAGCAGGGCAGGGGCAGUGACAUGCUGAGGGCUGGAGAAGGAGCACCACAAAGAUGGCUGUGAGGCCUUGGUCAGGCGUGAAGUAUGUGAGCCAGGAGAGUCGUACAGCACACACGCAGGAUGGAGGGCAACAAGUCGAGUGGGGGGCUUCUUUGGCCAGGGCUGCUGUGAAAUCUGGCGUAGGGCUGGGCCGGCCGGUCCGAGUCUGUCGGACUCCACGUAUAGGAGAAACGACAGAUGUCUAAGGAGCUUGUGGGGCGUUUGAUCCGGGCUCAUCCCUGGCACUUGGGGUGCAGGCCUGGCCCCUCUCUGGGGUGUGUUGAGGGUGAGCUCUGGGUUUGCGUUCAUGCCCCUGACUUGCUGUUGCUACAGGCCUCCCUUCAGUCUUGGGAACAGCGCUAUGUCCUGUGUGCCUGGGGGUGUCACUGGUGUCUCUCUCUUUCUACCUCUUUGCAAAAUGUCUGCAGCACUUGUUCUUUUUCUGCUCUUGUCAGGACUGGAGGGAAGGCUGUGGUGGGUUUUUUCCUGCCACCUAAAAUGGUUUCCACCUCGGGGAGGGGUCUGACUGCACCCUGUGUGCCCUGUUUAGGCUGGGUGGGGGUAUCGCCUUUGAAUUCUCGGGGGUUGCUUUUGCCCUCAGGGCUGUGAGUCCCGUGUGCCGCGUGACUUUUCCUAAUUUAUUUUUGUUUUGGUGACAUGUACGGGAGUCAUCUGGCUGAGGCUCGAGGCUCCUAAGUGGGCAUCGGGAAGAAGAGGUGGAAAUAUAGCGCCUGUGACCUGAGGAAGCUGGUGAAAGAAACGGAUGUCGGCGCAUUCGCUUUGCGGUUGCCCGGCGUGAGACUUCUGCCCGUGUGGUGGCCCUGGGCUGGAAGCCUUGCUGCGUGAAGCCUGCGAUAGAUGUUGGAUUGCUGCUCCCUGUGUGGUGAGAAGGAUUGGCUGCAAUGACUGGAGGCCUGGAAAAGGAGCCGUGUGGCCAGGGUCCUGGCCUGCAUGGAGGGAAGUAGGUGAGAGGACUGCAUCGUGGAAGAGCCGUGGGACAGUGUUGGAUGACAGACACGGACCGGCCGGAUGUUGCCCGCUACGUUGGAAUGUCCCUUCUGUAUUGGGAUUCUGCGUGGGGGUGUGGGGUGGGUUUGGGAGUGUCCUCAGCUUUAUGAUCCUGGAGCCAGGGGUUUGCAAGUAGUAUGUUUGGGUCAGUUUGUCUGUGCUGUGGGUGGACCUAGGGUGACCAGAGGUGAAAUCCAUUCCUGUGACCCUGUAGUUGGACCAGCACCCAGACACUUGCAGGAACCGCUGGGCAAGCAGGCCCAGAGCUUUCAACUGUUGAGCACGGCAAUGCUGGAGCCAGCUAGCAUGGAAGCAGAAGGGCCGGCCGGGCGCGGGGCCUGGGCUGCCUCUGUGGCUUCUGUGCUAGUGAGGUUGAGAAUUGCAGUGCUGGGGGGUUGGAGGUUUUGGACCUGCUUGUGCAGGGUUCUUGUUGGUGUUGGGGUGCUGGUUCUGCUGGGUCAGAGCAAUGGGUUUUAUUCUGCCUGACUGCCAUGUUUACCGUGUCCUACAGGGCUGGGAGCCUGUCGUAGUAGCGUGUGUUUGGCUGGGGCGGGGCGGUUGUCUGGUUUGGUCCCUGAGCAGUGUGGUGAGCAUGUUUGUUAUUACCCUGAAAUAAAAUAGUUUUCUGAUAGCCUACUGUUAGGCUAACAAUAAUUUAGAUUAUUAAGAAGUAUUAGCUUUGCAGUUGAAUACAAGGCAUGACCUGUGGCCUAGCAAUGCCGCUGACCACAAGGCAGAAUGAUAGCUAAGCCUUUGCUUAUGUUAAGUAAUGAUUUUAACUGUGUUGACUAUUUUCUGAGUAAAAUGCAGCAAGUGAAUCUGUCUGUGUGCUGUAAACCAGAUACAGCAAGGAACAAGGUAAGAGGAAGAAGGCAUUGUUCUAAGUACAGUGAUCGUGUCCUUAAGAAGUAUCUAGUACUGUGGAAGUUUUUGCUAAGAUAUCAUAAUGUUACUGUUACUUAUGUUAGAAAAUAUUGUUGGAAAAUCAAUGUGACCUUUGUAUGACCUUUGGUCAAUCCUGGCUGAUGCAACCUUGCAGUAAGAUUGCCAUGAUCUGUCAAUAUAGGCGGGCAAACAAGGUGAUUGGGCCCAACCGUGCGGGGCGAGCAAAGCCAAGCCAUCUUGGUGAUUUCCUCUGAGUUUUGCGCAUGCGUUAUGAAGGAGCUUAUGUAACCAGAGUUUAUAAAUCUAUGUGUUUGAGUUGCAGUCGGGGGUCUCUCUGCCCUUACGAGGACAGGGGACCUUUGGUCCAAUAAACUGAAAAGACCACGCGCUCGUCUCCUGCUUAUUGGAGUCUCAGGUGGGAAACGAGCCCUGUUCGGGUUAAGAGAGUCUGCAGGUGUUCCCUUACCAGAUUGGGAGCCUGGUCAGACAAUUUCUCUCACAAUUUGGCGAGCCAGCCAGGAGCACCCAGCUCGUCGCGCUGCCGCUGCCGCCUAAACCCAACCUCCGGCCGGCCGUAACAGAGGUGAGUUCACCACGGGAGUCUUGGGUUGAGGCUGCAGACACGGCGGGACGAUAAAGUGACUCCUUCAAUUUUACUGGCACGGUGUGGUCUUUUAUAUGUUGUGUAUGUCUUGUCUAAUGUGUUAUAGGCCAGUCUGUUCUCCGGUUCCUCAAACCUGGGCACACAGGCAAUUUUAGUUAAUUGCCCGUUCGACUCUUUUGAGCCGAUAAAUCUGUGUGGCGCGUUUUAUGUCUCCAUUCGCGCACUGAGGAACCGUCUCUGUUUCUGACCUUUUAACUGGAUAAGUCCUCCAACCUGUUUGAGGCAUCCUAGAAGCCUGCCUUUCCAGGUUGGUUAGGUCUAGGGCAGCCAAGAAAGCAGGGUUUUUGGGGAGCUUAAUAGUAUAUCAAGUCAUCUGGGAAAGGGAUGUCUGCCAAGAAUGACGAUGGGACAGAAACAGUCAAUUCUGGCUAGUAGUCCUCUUGGAGAAUUGUUAAGCAACUGGAAUAAGCUAUCUGGACAUGGCCAAUUGAGUAAGAAGCGCGCUAUAGCCUUAUGUACUAGUGUCUGGCCCGGCUACACUUACAAAAACCCUGAACUUCAGUGGCCAGUGUUGGGAUCCCUUAGUGUAGAUAAAUGAAGGUACCUCAGGGGGUUCCUAGAGGAACCCCAUCCCCGACUAAUGGAUUAUUGGUAUGUGUGGUGUGAUUUGAUGGAUUUAAUUCUGCAGAGGAAAAAAAAAACUGAUUACUUCUGGCCGCUCAACAACGUCUGUGGUGUCUUCUCCCCCUUAUUCUCCCGCUAUGCCACCAUUGGUGACUAGGGGACCAGCCAUAAUAAACCCGGCCGCUUAGGCCGUGGCCCUUCCGGCACCUUUUACCCCUCCAUCAGGCUCCUCUCCUCCCGUAACAGGAGUGUCAGGGUCUGUACCUGCCUCCUCGGAGCCUACUUUCAGUCCCAUAGCAGGACAUACUAGGUAGCGUUUGAAUCAGGUCAUACACCUGCUCUUGUACACAUGUAAUGACAUCUGCACACCCCCAUCACACAUGCAGUCACGCCUGCUCAGAGUCCCUUACAGACAUGCGCCUGCACAGAACCCCAAAACACACUGCGACAUACACAUGUGCCCCAACAGGUGUCCGUGACACACUUGCACACAAAUGUGCAUCCUCGCACACAUGCAUGUGCAGUCUCACACACGUACCCAGAGCCCAGGUGCUUGUGACACGUGCAUGCUCACACACACAUGGAACUCAGGUGUCUGACACACAUGCAUAUGUGCUCUCGCGGACACAGUCUAGCACACAUGUACAGAACCCAAGUGUCUGUGGCACACAGGCAAGUACCCUGACAUAUUCACAUUCACACACACACAAGCCCACAUGGGUAGAUAUGAAUCAACCUGCCCCCAAUGAUGUGUGCAAUUAUUGUAAACAAUUGGGGCAUUGGAGACGAGAAUGCCCAAACUGCCCUAAGGGACUUCCCCCUUAUGGAGGAAGAAAGGGGGGAACCCAGGGAAACAACCGGGCUGCCAGCACCGAUCCUACAGAUCCCUGGGUCCAGAGUUUGCAACAAGAUAUAGAUGACUCCCAGUGAAAUAAGGGGGCGGCUCUUCCACACGAUGUAUUUAGGGGAAUCUUCCUCUUUUGAGUAUACCUGCGGCCCUUCAUCCCCUUAUGUACCACUUCAAAUAGCAGGAAAAUUUAUAAAUGUCUUAUAGAUAGAGGAGCAGAUCUGUCCUCACUGGGAGAAUCUCCAGAAAGGGCGGGAAUUGCAGUCUCAGGAUCUGAAAAGAUUACGAGAGUAAUUGGAAAAUCUAUGCAAGUGCCCCGUGGCACUGAAACACAAGUGCAGAUAGGACCCUUGACCACCAUUCAUGCUUUCCUAUUAGCUGAAGGAACUGUAGUGCACCUCCUUGGAAGAAAUCUACUCUAUAAACUACAGACCAGAAACCCUUCACCCUACUUAUGAGAAUCAAGGCGUUGCUUCAGGUGUCUUAACUCAGCCAUGGGGAGUUUCUAAUCGUCCCAUAGCAUACUAUUCUGCUCAGUUAGAUCCUGUAGCAAGGGCAGCAAUUGUCUGUCUUAGAGCAGUCGCUGCUGCCACUGUGCUAGUUCAAAAGGCUCAAGAUUUAGUGUUAGGACACUCUCUUGUGGUUGAAAUAUCUCAUUCAGUGGAAGCUCUCCUACUACAGCACAACCUCUGCCAGCAGGGACCAACGCCCAGGCCGCUGAGCUAGCGGCACUCUGACGAGCAUGCAAAUUGGCCACAGCCUCCAGGGUCACUAUCUAUACUGACUCUAAAUAUGCUUUUAGUACCUGUCAUGCGCUAGGGCGGUCCUGGUGACAAAGAGGUUUUAUCACGUCCUCUGAUGCUGUAAUCAGCAAUGCCACGGAAGUCCAAGAACUGCUAGAGGCUGUCGUGUUACCAGGUGAUAUAGCGGUAAUGCACGGUCCCAGACAUUCCAGAGAAGAUACUGACAUCGCUAAAGGAAAGCAUCUCGCAGAUGCUGUAGCUAGAGCCGCUGCACUACAAACUAAAGGAAGUCUCCUUGCAUCUCAAGUUGUUCUUCCACCCUUGUCUGUUAUUUAUGACAAAGUCCCAGCGGAUGAAGUAUCUAUAUGGGUCCAAAAGUGGGAAGCUGCGCAAGGAAAGGAUGCAGUGUGACGUGUGCCAGACGGUAGACCAAUUGCUCCUCGCACCUUGCUCCGAAGUCUGGCUCAGGAUGCCCACAGAUGCUGUCAGUCGGGAAAAGGAGAAAUAGCAGAACAGGUCCUCUCCACCUGGUUUGCUCCAGGUAUACAUCUAGAAGCUGCCCGAAUAACUCUGCAAUGUUCAGAGUGCAGAGCCUUCAACAAAUACAGAGGACACACAAAAUUACAAGGGGCCCGACCGUGGGCCUAUUUACCCUUUGAAAAACGACAUGGAUUUGCUCAAAGCUGUACAUUUCAAGCACUGCCUAGUAGCGGUAGAUCAAGUAACAGGAUGGCCAGAAGCUUUCCCCACUCGAGAAGCGGAUUCAGUAGCAGUAGCCAAACCCGUAUUAAAAGAAAUCAUCCCACAUUUCGGCAUUCCAGGAGGAAUAAACUCUGACCGGGGAACUCACUUUACAGAAACUGUUUUAAAAGAAGUUUACAGAGUUUUUGGAAUAAUAACAUACUUCCACGCACCCUAUCGCCCUCCGUCCCCGGGUCAGGUAGAGAGGAUGAAUCAGAGUAUAAAAUCCCUUUUAGGAAAGAUCUGCUCCUAAACCAAAUUGAAAUGGUCAGAUGCUUUACCAAGGGUGCUGUUUGCUAUAAGAACAAAACCCAAAUGGCCUCUCAACCUUGUCCCCCUACGAGUUGUUGUUUGGUCACGCUCCUGUUAUAUAAGAGAUGGGAAAAUCUGCAUGUUAGCUUACUCGGCGGAGAUGAAGCUUUAAUUAGUUAUGUUUUAUCCUUACAGGAGUCUCUCUAGUGUUUACACAGGUCAGCUGCUUUGGUUCAGCUGGUACCCCUGGACUGUAACCUUCACUCCUAUCAAUCAGGACGCUGAGUUUGGGUAAAACAACAUCGGCGAAAAACCGCCUCGGCCCAAGUCUGGGCAGGUCCGUACCAAGUUCUUCUUACUAUACACGCUGCUGUGAAAAUCGCCGAGAAAGAGGGCCGGAUUCAUCGCAGUCGCCUCAAACCUGGUAUCGGCAAGUAAUGACCGGUCAGCUGCUGUUCCGCCUUUGUGGCUAGAAAGAAUCGGAGAAUCGUGGACCGUUCAGACUCCUUAAUAGAAAUGAUACGUGUAUUAAGCUUGCUUUGUAUUAUCUUUCUUGUUAUACUUUGUGUUUGUAUUUCACUGUGGAUGCAGGGAAGGUUAUAAGUUAAUAAUGGCAUUUCACCGGGCUAUCCUAACAGGAUUAUUGCUCUUGAUGCAUAAAACACCAUGGCUAUUUAUGGGAAAGCGAUACAGAACAGGAAGACCAGUGGAAAGAUAAUGCUUACCUGAUUUCCACUAUAGCUAUAGCACAGGCCGUAAAAUUUGUCUAAUGGUUGGAUAUGUGGUACACAGUCUCCUUCUACUAACUUUCCACCCUAUCCUUUAAUCUCUUGGGAAGGGAUUUUUUCUAAUCCAGAGUGGGUUGAUACGGUUAGAGCUGGAAUAAGUACCUGGCAGGAGAAUCCUUAUUUUAAAGAGAGAGUACUUUCAGACAUCAUGUUAUCUGCCCAGGUGUGUUGGGAAAAUCCUCAUGGAAUAGGAAAAGAGAUUUUUAGGAUGGCAACCAGGUUGUAAACUAACCAUUAAUGCCACACACUUAAUUUGGCCUAACAAUACUGCAGUGGGGACUAAAGAAGCUGAAAAGAAAGGUUACAUCCCCUGGAAUGUGUGUGCUCCCUGCAGUUCCUUGCAGCGUCCUUAUGUAUGGCAAUGUAUGGAAGGUUCCAUCCGAUGCUCCGCCCCUAAUAAAACUUGGGCUUGGAGUCACGGCUGUUUCACGUCUUGCACAUACAGCUCCUUUGCAAAGCCAAGUUGUUCGUAUGUUAACUAUACCAUUUACAGAGACGGUUCAGUACCUUGCCCCAGAGAUCCUCAUACUACCGCAUCAAUCAACUGGCACAUGCGUUAGAACUUAUUGCCAAUAGCACAGCAGAGGGCAUUGAAUUAGUGCAAGACCAGGCUUCUUGCAACCAUGCUAUGACUUUAGAAAAUCGCUUCGCUUUAGACUAUUUGUUAGCUAGAGAAGGAGGGGUAUGUGCUUUAAUCACAGGAGGACCCUGCUGCACUUAUAUUCCUGACCACUCUGACAACAUAACUGCUGCAGUAAAAACAAUUCGAGACACAGCACGACUUCUUUGCGAAGUUGGUCAGUAAUAGAACGGAUUGCCUCAACUUUAGGAAUGUGGGGAAGGUAUAUCUUAGAAUACAUUUUAUGGGGAUUAGGAAUCUUCUUGGUUAUUAUUGUAAUAAUUGCUGUAAUUACAGCCUGUGUAGUUUGAGUGAAGCAAAAAGUAAUUAAUCUCAAUAUUAUGCAAACCUGGGAAAUGGCCAGCAGGCCAUAGGCCUGUGGCUGUAAGGGGGGAUUGUUAGAAACUAUUGUUGGAAAAUCAGUGUGACCUUUGUAUCACCUUUGGGCAAUGCUAGCUGAUGCAACCUUGCAGUAAGAUUGCCAUGAUCUGUCAAUAUAGGCGGGCAAACAAGGUGAUUGGGCCCAACCAUGCGGGGUGAGCAAAGCCAAGCCAUCUUCGUGAUUUCCUCUGAGUUUUGCACAUGUGUUAUGAAGGAGCUUAUGUAACAAGAGUUUAUAAAGCUACAUGUUGAGUUGCAGUUGGGGUCUCUGUUCCCUUAUGCGGACAGGGGACCUUCGGCCCAAUAAACUGAAAAGACCACACCCUUGUCUGCUGCUUAUUGGAGUCUCAGCUGGGAAACGAGCCCUGUUUGGGUUAAGAGAGUCUGCAGGUGUUCCCUUACCAGCUUGGGAGUCUGGUCAGACAAUUUCUCUCACAAUUAAUUUGUAGCUUUUAGAAAGUGCUAGUUCAGCUUAAUAGAAAUAUGCUGUUAUGAAGAUUCGUAAAGCACCGCCCAAGUAUUGCUUUUGGUUAACCCUUGUAGAGCGCAAGUUUGUUAUUACCCUGAAAUAGAAUAGUUUUCUGAUAGCAUACUGUUAGGUUAACAAUAAUUUGGAUUAUUAAGAAGUAUUAGCUUUACAGCUGAAUACAAGGCAUGACCUGUGGCCUAGCAAUGCAGCUGACCACAAGGCAGAAUGAUAGCUAGGCCUUUGCUUAUGUCAAGUAAUCAUUUUAACUACACCAAGCAUUUUCUGAGUUAAAAAGUGAAUCUGUGUCUGUGCGCUAAAAAAAAUCAGCUACAGCAAAAAGUAAGAUAAAACAGAGAAACCAUUGUUUGAGCUUACUGGUUGUGUCCUUGAAAAAUAUCUUCUACUGUAUAAGGUUUUGCUAACAUAAUGUUACUGUUACCUAACUUUUAGCUUUAAAAGGUGCUAGUUCAGCUUAAUAAAAAUAUGCUGUUACAAAGAUUUAUAGAACACCGCCCCAAGUAUUGCUUUUUGUUAACCAUAUAGUUUUGCUUUGUUGUAAAAAAUAUAAAAGAUCGCCUCACCCUUGAGGGGGGGCCUUUUUGCCUUUUGCUGGCUUUAUGGUCUUUGCUCGAGCAAAUAAACAGCUGUCUUUCUUUACCCGCGUUGUCUGUCAAUCAAAUUACAGCUAGACAACGGACCUUAGGGAGAUUUCUCCCACCACACCCUGUAGUCUUGCCUUAUUGUAAAAAGUCUAAAAGAACACCCCACCCUUGAGUGGGGGGCAUUUUGGCUUUUUGCUGGCUUAUGGUCAUUGCUCGAGCAAAUAAACGGCAGUAAAUCUUUACCUGCGUUGCUUGGUUUCUAUUGCAGCUAGACAACAAACUCCUCCUGGGAGUUUUCUCCCACCACAGCAGGAAGGAGGAUGUUGAAGGUUUCUGAGCCAUAAGCUCGAGCCCUCUCUUUGGAAGGGGUGUUAGAAAAUAUUGUUAGAAAAUUAAUGUGACCUGUGUAUGACCUUGGAUCAAUGCUGGCUGAUGCAACCUUGCACUGAGAUUGCUGCUGAUAUGUCAAUCUUGGCGGACAAGCAAGGUGAUUGGGCCCAACCAUGCAGGGUGAGCAAAGUCAUGCCAUUUUAGCAAUUUUCUGCUGGGUUUUGCACAUGUGUUAUGGGAAAGGCUUAUGUAAUGAAAGUUUAUAAAUAUGUGUUGAGUUGGAGUCGGGGUCUCUCUGCCCUUACGAGGACAGGGGACCUUCAGCCAAAUAAACUGAAAAGACCACACCCUCGUCUCCUGCUUAUUGGAGUCUCAGCUGGGAUAGGAGCCCCGUUAGGGUUAAGAGAGUCUGCAGGUGUUCCCUUACGAGAUUGGGAGCCUGGCCAGACAAUUUCUCUGAUGGGGAAAGCAGAGCCGUCUGUUACUCAGCUUUGUUUUGUUGUUGCCCAUAGUGGAGGUAUUGCAAAAAUGUAUCAUCUCACUACACCAAAGGCUUCUCAGCUGAAAACUGUAAACUGGAAAUUGUUUCUUCUUCUCUGUCCCACAUCACUGCGGGGCCAGGAGGCGGGGGGUCGUGUUAGGGGGAGAGAACAGUCUGAACAAUGCUUGCUUCACGAUAAGGCUGACUCCUGUGGGAACACAGAUUAGUUACUGCCUGCUUUGCACAUAAACUUUGCAGAAAACUGUAGCAAAUGACAGAUUGCCACAAUGGAAUCUUGUUUAGGAGAGGUAUAAAAAUGUAUUUUCGGGCAUGGCUAGGGGUCAACAUGACUUUGAGGUUUGAGCUCCGUUGUCGAUCUGUUUGCAAACAAACAUAGUUGAAAUGGAUCCAGCCUAAGUGUGUAUAACUCUCCCUUGAGGUAUAUGGAAAAAGCCUCCAGAAACACGAAACUAGCCGUUUGUGCAACAGAGGCACAACUGGGAAGCACCCCCCUCCCUCUGUCAGCUUAACCACCUUCUUGUCCCUCCAAGGCCCCUGCCUUGUAGUGCCUCUUGGGCCUGCGUGGUGUUGCUGGUCGUUGUGUUUGGGUGUGAGGGGGGUGCAGCCAAGGUGAUGGCUCCUGUGGAGAAGGGGAGUAGAAGCAGAAGUAGUUACGAAGAGCCUGGGUGCUGGGCUGAUGUCGUGGGAGAAAACUCCCUGGUGUUCGUUGUCUAGCCGGCUUAGAGACCAGACAACACGGGUGAAGGGGUAACUGCAGUUUAUCUACUCGAGUAAAGACCAUAAAACAGCAAAGAGGUAAAAUGGCCUCGACUUAAGGGUGAGGCUGUCUUAUAUACUUUUUCUAACAAAGCAACUACAAGGUUAUUGAAUAUGUAAUACUUAUGGUAAUCAUCUCCUUACAUGGUGCAUUACAAAUCUCAGUACUUUUGCAGAGGAAAAAAGUUAGUGUUAUCUUACACACUGCAAUCUGUUAUCCUGUACUCCGCUGUACCAUCUUCUUGCCUCUGGGCCCCCCCCUUAUCUUAUCUGACUCCUAGCUGCAGCUGGUACCCAGUACACAGACUUAACCAUUUUGUUAGGAAAAAGCAGAAAUUAAGGCACUUGACAUAAGAAAAUGACUGGCUUAGAGAUCAUUCUGUCUUGUGGUCAGCAAGAUUGCUAGGCCACAGGUCAUGCCUAGUGUUUAGCUACAAAGCUAAUACUAUUUAAUAAUCUAAAUUACCCUGAAAUAAAAUAGUUUUCUGUAGUAUACUGUUAAGAAUAAAGAGAAACCCAUCACUUUGAGUGUGAGGUGGAAGAGGUGCCAGGAGGAUGUGUGUGCUCGGUGGGGUGACAGGGGUGCGAAGCUGCCUGCCUGGGGGUGGUGGGAUCGUGCUGUGCUCCGUUGGUUGUUUGCUUUGUUUGGUGAUGUUUGUGUGUGUCCUUGUGUUGUUUGUGUUCUGCCUGUUUGUUGUGAGGUUGGCAAUGUUUUCUUCCUGGUGGUUUGUUUUGUACAUGGCUGUUUGCUCACCUCCUAUCUGUUGAGCUUUUUGUAUGUAACAUGUAGAGGAACUUGUGGGCCAGCCUGGAAAAAUAAAAUAAAGGAGAAAUGGUUCUGGUA
Molecule: long non-coding RNA, 14830 nt
Organism: Alligator mississippiensis (American alligator)
Lineage: Eukaryota; Metazoa; Chordata; Crocodylia; Alligatoridae
Exons: 13
Source: RefSeq, a predicted model, not a curated record